Branchiostoma floridae (Florida lancelet) is the source of this 241-nucleotide long non-coding RNA. RefSeq lists it as uncharacterized. The transcript is spliced from 3 exons. The record is from RefSeq and is a predicted model, not a curated record. NCBI's taxonomy places the organism in Eukaryota, Metazoa, Chordata, Leptocardii, Amphioxiformes, Branchiostomatidae.
GUACGCGAGGCUCCGAGCCAAGCAGCACCCCUCCCUCCCUCUCCGGUUUUCUAGGUGUCUUGAUGGAGACCAACACAUCAACCCGACAAAGAUGCUCGACUGGUUCUAUGGACUUGUGCAGAAAGGUGUGAACAAGGUAUCAUCCUCGCAAUCGGUCUGGGCCUGGGAUCCUGUUUCACUGAGGGUCUCUCGCCAUGGACCAGCCAUAAUGGUGAACAUAAAGGAAGGGUAUGACUUGUCC